Molecule: ribosomal RNA, 590 nt
Filed under: uncultured Burkholderia sp.
Lineage: Bacteria; Pseudomonadati; Pseudomonadota; Betaproteobacteria; Burkholderiales; Burkholderiaceae
Description: bacterial SSU rRNA
Rfam family: Bacterial small subunit ribosomal RNA
Source: RNAcentral
UCGGGUUGUAAAGCACUUUUGUCCGGAAAGAAAACUUCUGCCCUAAUACGGUGGGAGGAUGACGGUACCGGAAGAAUAAGCACCGGCUAACUACGUGCCAGCAGCGCGGUAAUCGUGGGGUGCGAGCGUUAAUCGGAAUUACUGGGCGUAAAGCGUGCGCAGGCGGUUCGUUAAGACAGAUGUGAAAUCCCCGGGCUUAACCUGGGAACUGCAUUUGUGACUGGCGAGCUAGAGUAUGGCAGAGGGGGGUAGAAUUCCACGUGUAGCAGUGAAAUGCGUAGAGAUGUGGAGGAAUACCGAUGGCGAAGGCAGCCCCCUGGGCCAAUACUGACGCUCAUGCACGAAAGCGUGGGGAGCAAACAGGAUUAGAUACCCUGGUAGUCCACGCCCUAAACGAUGUCAACUAGUUGUUGGGUCUUCAUUGACUUAGUAACGUAGCUAACGCGUGAAGUUGACCGCCUGGGGAGUACGGUCGCAAGAUUAAAACUCAAAGGAAUUGACGGGGACCCGCACAAGCGGUGGAUGAUGUGGAUUAAUUCGAUGCAACGCGAAAAACCUUACCUACCCUUGACAUGGUCGGAACCCUGCUG